RNAcentral lists this ribosomal RNA (253 nucleotides) under uncultured bacterium. RNAcentral's name for it is "partial 16S ribosomal RNA". It matches the Rfam family "Bacterial small subunit ribosomal RNA", at positions 524 to 776 of the family's 1533-position model. The record is from RNAcentral.
UACGGAGGGUGCAAGCGUUAAUCGGAAUUACUGGGCGUAAAGCGCACGUAGGUGGUCUGUUAAGCCAGCUGUGAAAUCCCCGGGCUCAACCUGGGAAUUGCGGUUGGAACUGGCAAGCUGGAGUAGGGUAGAGGGGUGUGGAAUUCCAGGUGUAGCGGUGAAAUGCGUAGAUAUCUGGAGGAACAUCAGUGGCGAAGGCGACACCCUGGACUCAUACUGACACUGAGGUGCGAAAGCGUGGGGAGCGAACAGG